This 467-nucleotide ribosomal RNA is filed under the name uncultured bacterium. RNAcentral's name for it is "partial 16S ribosomal RNA". It matches the Rfam family "Bacterial small subunit ribosomal RNA", at positions 28 to 507 of the family's 1533-position model. The record is from RNAcentral.
GAUGAACGCUGGCGGCGUGCUUAACACAUGCAAGUCGAACGGAAAGGCCCAAGCUUUCUUGGGUACUCGAUUGCCGAACGGGUGAGUAACACGCGUGUGAUCUGCCCUUCACUUCCGGAGAUGCCUUGGAAACUCCGUCUAAUACCGGAUAGGACCACUUCUUGGAUGUUGUGGUGGAAAGAUUUUUCGGUUUGGGAUGAGCUCUCGGCCUAUCAGCUUGUUGGUGGGGUAAUGGCCUACCAAGGCGUCGCCGGGUAGCCGGCCCGAGAGGGUGUACGGCGACAUUGGGACUGAGGGACGGCACAGACUCCGACGGGAGGGAGCAGUGGGGAAUAUUGAACAAUGGGCGCCAGCCUGAUGCAGCGACGCCGCGUGGGGGAUGACGGUCUUCGGGUUGUAAACUAAAUUCGCUAGGGACGAAGCGCUUUGUGACGGUACCUGGAGAAGAAGCACCGGCUAACUACGUG